RNAcentral lists this long non-coding RNA (958 nucleotides) under Pongo abelii (Sumatran orangutan). RNAcentral describes it as "lincRNA". The record is from RNAcentral. Lineage: Eukaryota; Metazoa; Chordata; Mammalia; Primates; Hominidae.
UCACUGUCAUGGCUAAGAAAGCAACUCCAACCCACACACUGCAAAUGUGAAGGACCAAGAAAGGUGUGCAGGCUCUGGUUUGCGUAGUGAAGAUGAGCGACCGUGUUCCUAAGCAUGAAGGAGGACCACAUGAGGAUCCUGGACACCUACUGCAUGAAUGUAUUAGCCCUUUCAGGUCUAGGGACCUGGGUACCUUGGGAAAGAGGGAGUGCAGAGCAGAGAAAACCGGCCUGUGCAACUGAGAAGGCCACUCAGGCCACAGGGACAGGGCAGGAACGCUCUCAGGAGUGUCCCCUGCACCUGAACUUGAUUUCACCCCAUCGCCUUCCGCCUCUUAACCAGCAUCUCCUGGACAGUCAGCCGAGGGUUUCCAUGGUACCAGCCAUACCUGAUGCCAGGAGACUCACUACACUUGGAAGCUCUUCAAGAUGUGUAUUGAAUUUGCAGAAGGCCUCUUUUCCAAAUGAUCAAUGAAUUUCAACACCAGAGUCUUUGAGUCAGACAAGGAAACUUUCAGUUUAACAGCCUCCCAGGAUGUCAACUGGAAGAUCAUGCCAUUCCUGACAAUUAGAAGAGGAGUUCCCUGUGCAAGGGAAGAACAUGGUAGGGUUAAUGCUACACGGAACAUGAACUUUGAAGAUCCUCAUUUUGGUUUCCAUGAAAGUGGCGAAGGUUCUCCAAAUAAAAGCAUUUCCAAUAAGGGUGAAGAGUAGAGAGCAGUGAUGUUUCCAAAAAGUUUAGAAUUCCUCCUUCAAAUGACUUCCUAAUGAAUAUCAGAAGGCAAUGUGUAGAGUCACAAGUCAUUGGAAUGGCACCCACUGUGUAAUUUCAACAAAACACUUCAUCCCUCUUAGCCUCUGGUGGCUCAUCUGUAAAUUAAGGCAAAUUCUAUCUUCAAAUUUCAUCACUCUUUGAUUAACAACUUUUAUUCAACUUUGUUGAAAAGAACAAAAUUGCA